Molecule: ribosomal RNA, 254 nt
Filed under: uncultured bacterium
Lineage: Bacteria
Description: partial 16S ribosomal RNA
Rfam family: Bacterial small subunit ribosomal RNA
Source: RNAcentral
UACGAAGGGGGCUAGCGUUGCUCGGAAUCACUGGGCGUAAAGCGCACGUAGGCGGAUCUUUAAGUCGGUGGUGAAAUCCUGGAGCUCAACUCCAGAACUGCCUCCGAUACUGAGGGUCUUCGAGUCCGGGAGAGGUGAGUGGAACUGCGAGUGUAGAGGUGAAAUUCGUAGAUAUUCGCAAGAACACCAGUGGCGAAGGCGGCUCACUGGCCCGGUACUGACGCUGAGGUGCGAAAGCGUGGGGAGCAAACAGG